UACGUAGGCAGCAAGCGUUGUUCGGAGUUACUGGGCGUAAAGAGUGCGUAGGUGGUGCCCUAAGUCUGUUGUGAAAUCUCCCGGCUUAACUGGGAGGGUGCGGUGGAAACUGGGGUGCUUGAGUGUGGGAGAGGUAAGCGGAAUUCCUGGUGUAGCGGUGAAAUGCGCAGAUAUCAGGAAGAACACCCGUGGCGAAGGCGGCUCUCUGGGACGGUACUGACGCUGAGACGCGAAAGCGUGGGGAGCGAACAGG
RNAcentral lists this ribosomal RNA (253 nucleotides) under uncultured bacterium. RNAcentral describes it as "partial 16S ribosomal RNA". It matches the Rfam family "Bacterial small subunit ribosomal RNA", at positions 524 to 776 of the family's 1533-position model. The record is from RNAcentral.